ACAGGCCAAAGCUCGACUCCAGCUGGUGCUUCAGGCUGCAGCUAAAACCGAUGAAGCACUGAAAGCACAGGAGAGUAUGAGAGAGGAAAAGACAAAGGAGGAGGAGGAAAUGUCUCUCGCCGAGCAGGUGAAGAGGAUAAAGGAUAUCGAGGCCAUUGAGAGCGACUCCUUUGUUCCUCA
Sinocyclocheilus rhinocerous is the source of this 180-nucleotide long non-coding RNA. RefSeq lists it as uncharacterized. The record is from RefSeq and is a predicted model, not a curated record. The transcript is spliced from 3 exons. NCBI's taxonomy places the organism in Eukaryota, Metazoa, Chordata, Actinopteri, Cypriniformes, Cyprinidae.